UUUAUCCAACAAGUCCUUUAUUUAUUUUAAAAAAAAAUUAUAAAUAUUAUUUAUGUGAUUUUAUUUUUUUUAUUAUUUUAAUAUUUUUUAGUUUAAAGUGUAUUACUUUUAUAUUAUAUAAUUUUUUUAUUUUUAUUAAUUAUUUUAUUAAUUUUUUUUGUUAAAUUAGUGAUAAAAUUAAAACUAAAGAGUACUAACGUGAAUAUUAGAUAAACUAUUGGUGGAAUAUCUCAAGUUUUUUGUAUAUGAUUUAAUAAAAAAUUAACUAAAGCCUGAUAGAAAGAAAAUAAAAAAAAAUAAUCUCAUAGUAUAAAAUUAAAAUAUUUUAAAUUAUAUAAUACUAAGGUGAGAAAGUACAAAACUGAUAAAACUUAUCCUUUAUUUAAGUACAUAAAAACAUCUAUACUUCAUAUUUUUUUGAAAAAUUUUUUCUGCUCUAUUAUCG
Molecule: long non-coding RNA, 445 nt
Filed under: Ananas comosus (pineapple)
Lineage: Eukaryota; Viridiplantae; Streptophyta; Magnoliopsida; Poales; Bromeliaceae
Description: long non-coding RNA (ACOM_LNC020400)
Source: RNAcentral